Molecule: ribosomal RNA, 253 nt
Filed under: uncultured prokaryote
Description: partial 16S ribosomal RNA
Rfam family: Bacterial small subunit ribosomal RNA
Source: RNAcentral
UACAGAGGGUGCGAGCGUUGUUCGGAAUUACUGGGCGUAAAGCGUAUGUAGGCGGAUCGUUAAGUCGGGGGUGAAAUCCCGAGGCUCAACCUCGGAACUGCCUUCGAUACUGGCGAUCUUGAGUCCGGGAGAGGUGAGUGGAACUGCGAGUGUAGAGGUGAAAUUCGUAGAUAUUCGCAAGAACACCAGUGGCGAAGGCGGCUCACUGGCCCGGUACUGACGCUGAGGUGCGAAAGCGUGGGGAGCAAACAGG